Molecule: long non-coding RNA, 1247 nt
Filed under: Callithrix jacchus (white-tufted-ear marmoset)
Lineage: Eukaryota; Metazoa; Chordata; Mammalia; Primates; Cebidae
Description: lncRNA (ENSCJAG00000087104.1)
Source: RNAcentral
AUUCCCACACAACAAUAGUGGGAGACUUUAACACCCCACAGACAAUAUUACAUCAUCUAGACAGAAAAUUAACAAAGAUAUUCAUGACCCAAACUCAGCACUGGAUCAAAUGGACCUGGUAGACGUCUACAGAACUCUCCACCCCAAAACAAUAGAAUGUAUAUUAUUCCUCUCAUGACCACAUAGCACAUACUCUAAAGUCAAUCACAUAAUCACAAAUUAAAUACUACUGAAAUCAUAGCAAACAAUCUCUUGGACCACAGUGCAAUCAAAUCAGAAAUCAAGACCAACAAGUUCACCAUUUGACCCAGCAAUCACGAUACCCAAAGGAAUAUAAAUCAUUGCAUCAUAAAGGCAUAUACAUGUGUAUGUUCACUGCAGCACUAUUAACAAUAUCAAAGACAAAGAAGAACCCAAAAUAAGUUAAAUCUAACAAACUUUUUUUGAGCAAGAAGAGGGUUCUGGAUCCAAGCAACCCUCUAGACUGAACAAAGAUGAUGGAGACUGCCCCCACCUCCCAUGAGGUGAGCUGUAUUUUUAACCAGAAAACAAGACGUGUCAAAGAGACUACCUAAUUAGUGCAGUUUGACCAAGGCUUUAUUUGAGCAUAAUUUGUUAGUGUUCAGCCUGGGAUUGACAGGGUUUCAGUGCUGUGCUUCCCUGAGACUCGGUCACUUGGUUACAUGGGUAAACUUUUAGGUGAGGUUACAACUUGUUCACACAUCAACUAUGGCACAGUUCACUAAGGAGACCAAUUCGGACAAACCGUACUAGCCAAGUACAAAGGACACUUUGAGCCAAACUUAAUCUAACACUGUAUUUAACACACUGAGUACAUCACCAAGGAGAAAACUCCAAUGUUUUAGCCGACGUGAUAGUGUGCACCCACAGUCCCAGCUGCUCAGGAGGCUGAGGCAGGAGAAUCGCUUGAGCCCAGGAGUUCCGGGCUGAGUCCCUUAGCUAUGAUUGCUCCCCUGUACUCCAGCCUAGGCAACAGAACAAGACACUGUCUCUAAAAACUGAACAUUUUUUAAAUGUAUUCCUCCUGUCUAAUUGAGGCUUUGCAGCCUUUGACCACCAUCUUCCCAUUCCCCUGCGUCCCCCCACCAGCCUCUUUUGAUCAAUAGUUAAUUCUGUCUCUUUGAUGUUGAUUGUUUCAAAUUCUGUAAAUAAGUGAAAAUUUGCUAUUUGUCUUUCGGUUUCUGUCUUCUUUCAUUUAUUGUUCUCCACUUCCAUCUGUAUUGUCA